This 1819-nucleotide long non-coding RNA is filed under the name Salmo salar (Atlantic salmon). RNAcentral's name for it is "lncRNA (ENSSSAG00000118438.1)". The record is from RNAcentral. Lineage: Eukaryota; Metazoa; Chordata; Actinopteri; Salmoniformes; Salmonidae.
AAUUGUAGGCUAAAAUGUGUCUGCUAAAUGAACUAGUGUAGUCCAUAGCCAGAUCAGGGCCUAACAUGAUAACUCAGAGUAUGCUAUUCUGUUCUUCUGAAAUAAACUACGUUUUCUUCAUAUCAUGUUUCUUUAGACCUGUUUAAAAUAAAUCAUGGAUUUAUUGUGAAGGUAUAGACUAUAUUACAUGGAUUUAUUGUGAAGGUGUAGACUAUAUUACAUGGAUUUAUUGUGAUGGUGUAGGUAGACUAUAUUACAUGGAUUUAUUGUGAUGGUAUAGACUAUAUUACAUGGAUUUAUUGUGAUGGUGUAGACUAUAUUACAUGGAUUUAUUGUGAUGGUGUAGACUAUAUUACAUGUAUUUAUUGUGAUGGUGUAGACUAUAUUACAUGGAUGUAUUGUGAUGGUGUAGACUAUAUUACAUGGAUUUAUAGUGAUGGUGUAGACUAUAUUACAUGGAUUUAUUGUGAUGGUGUAGACUAUAUUACAUGGAUUUAUUGUGAUGGUGUAGGUAGACUAUAUUACAUGGAUUUAUUGUGAUGGUGUAGGUAGACUAUAUUACAUGGAUUUAUUGUGAUGGUGUAGACUAUAUUACAUGGAUUUAUUGUGAUGGUGUAGGUAGACUAUAUUACAUGGAUUUAUUGUGAUGGUGUAGACUAUAUUACAUGGAUUUAUUAGAUUUUUUAAAAUGUAGAUGUUCUGAAGGUCUGCAUCAGUGGUUUGUAGGCUACGUGUGGAAGCCAGGAGAAGCUAAAUGUGUUUAUGUUCAUUAACGGUCGAUUACUGUGAGAACGGUGGUUAUUUGCUUGACAUCACCGGCAGACUAAACGUCAUGGCCGCCACAGCCCCGCUCCAGGAAUUUGCUAAAUUCAAUUCACCUUGUCUCCCAUGUACAGUACAUGUUCAGAAGACAAGGGGUAGAUGAAACGUAAUGGAUUCUAAUCCAGAUGGCCUUAACUGGGUUCAAACUCUAUUGUUGCCCCGUGUUUCUGGAUGACACCAGUUAAACACAGCACAUUUCAUUCAACCACUUUGUCUUUAGAGAGAGACGGAGCAGGGGGGGGAUGUUGGGGUGACAAUGGGCUGUCCGACACUCACAACGGAGAGCGUGUCAGCCAGGAUAUCUUUCUGCCUGAGCUCCUUUCUGAGUUUAACUGCAUUGGAUUUUUGUUUGGCGGCGGAGUGUAUAUCAAGCCACCCCCCUUUGUGCGGCCACCGGUAAUGGUAAUGAAAGCAUGGCUAAAAUAUCUAAGUGGUCGUACUUCGUUAAGGAAGCGGCGGGAGCGGUGGUGGGAGCGGUGAAGGGGAGGGGCUGUAGGAGGCUGUAGGAUCGUGCUUGGGGUGAGAAUCAGUCUGCAUAAGGUAAGCGCAGAGAGGGAGAGAGGGAGAGGGGAUAGAAAGAGAGAGGGAGGGAGAGAGAGGGGAGAGGGAAGGAGAGAGGGAGAUAGAGAGAAUGGGCCUGCUGCAGAGAGGGAGAGAGAGAGGGGGGAUAGAAAGAGAGAGGGAGGGAGAGAGAGAGGGAGAGGGAAGGAGAGAGGGAGAUAGAGAGAAUGGGCCUGCUGCAGUUUGGCAGCCAGUUGUAAUGCAUCUCUAUGACAUCAUUCUCUGACAAAGUGUGAGGACGUCAUCAAAUUAAAGGCAUUUGUUUUAUGUAGAGUUACAGAUGUCUGAUGCUAUAUUGAAAUUCCAGUACUCCUUCACCUCCACAUUCACUGGUUCUAGCUAAAUUGGAAAAAAAAUGAUAUCACUGUCUGUCUGUCUUGUCUUGUCUGUCUGUCUGUCUGUCUGUCUGUCUGUCUGUCUGUCUGUCUGUCUGUCU